GUACACUCCUACGGGAGGCAGCAGUGGGGAAUUUUGGACAAUGGGCGAAAGCCUGAUCCAGCAAUGCCGCGUGAGUGAAGAAGGCCUUCGGGUUGUAAAGCUCUUUUGUCAGGGAAGAAACGGUGAGAGCUAAUAUCUUUUGCUAAUGACGGUACCUGAAGAAUAAGCACCGGCUAACUACGUGCCAGCAGCCGCGGUAAUACGUAGGGUGCAAGCGUUAAUCGGAAUUACUGGGCGUAAAGCGUGCGCAGGCGGUUUUGUAAGUCUGAUGUGAAAUCCCCGGGCUCAACCUGGGAAUUGCAUUGGAGACUGCAAGGCUAGAAUCUGGCAGAGGGGGGUAGAAUUCCACGUGUAGCAGUGAAAUGCGUAGAUAUGUGGAGGAACACCGAUGGCGAAGGCAGCCCCCUGGGUCAAGAUUGACGCUCAUGCACGAAAGCGUUGGGAGCAAACAGGAUUAGAAACCCUUGUAGUCCCA
RNAcentral lists this ribosomal RNA (475 nucleotides) under uncultured organism. Its description in RNAcentral is "partial 16S ribosomal RNA". It matches the Rfam family "Bacterial small subunit ribosomal RNA", at positions 331 to 797 of the family's 1533-position model. The record is from RNAcentral.